AUACGUAGGUGGCAAGCGUUAUCCGGAUUUACUGGGUGUAAAGGGCGCGUAGGCGGGGGUGCAAGUCAGAUGUGAAAUCUAUGGGCUUAACUCAUAAACUGCAUUUGAAACUGUAUCUCUUGAGUGCUGGAGAGGUAGACGGAAUUCCUUGUGUAGCGGUGAAAUGCGUAGAUAUAAGGAAGAACACCAGUGGCGAAGGCGGUCUACUGGACAGUAACUGACGCUGAGGCGCGAAAGCGUGGGGAGCAAACAGGAUUAGAUACCCUGGUAGUCCACGCCGUGAACGAUGAAUACUAGGUGUCGGGUUUCUAUAGAGAUUCGGUGCCGCAGCAAACGCAAUAAGUAUUCCACCUGGGGAGUACGAUCGCAAGAUUGAAACUUAAAUGAAUUGGCGG
RNAcentral lists this ribosomal RNA (395 nucleotides) under uncultured bacterium. Its description in RNAcentral is "partial 16S ribosomal RNA". It matches the Rfam family "Bacterial small subunit ribosomal RNA", at positions 523 to 916 of the family's 1533-position model. The record is from RNAcentral.